UGGGGAAUAUUGGUCAAUGGGCGCAAGCCUGAUCCAGCAAUGCCGCGUGGGUGAAGAAGGCCUUCGGGUUGAAAGACCCUUUUGUUCGGGAAGCGGUACCGUAAGAAUAAGCACCGGCUAACUUCGUGCCAGCAGCCGCGGUAAUACGAAGGGUGCAAGCGUUAAUCGGAAUUACUGGGCGUAAAGCGUGCGUAGGUGGUUGGUUAAGUCUGUCGUGAAAGCCCUGGGCUCAACCUGGGAAUGGCGAUGGAUACUGGCCGACUAGAGUGCGGUAGAGGGUAGCGGAAUUUCCGGUGUAGCGGUGAAAUGCGUAGAGAUCGGAAGGAACAUCCGUGGCGAAGGCGGCUACCUGGACCAACUUGUACACUGAGG
Molecule: ribosomal RNA, 372 nt
Filed under: uncultured bacterium
Lineage: Bacteria
Description: bacterial SSU rRNA
Rfam family: Bacterial small subunit ribosomal RNA
Source: RNAcentral